This 71-nucleotide transfer RNA is filed under the name Loxodonta africana (African savanna elephant). It matches the Rfam family "tRNA". Rfam says of the family: Transfer RNA (tRNA) molecules are approximately 80 nucleotides in length. The record is from Rfam by way of RNAcentral. Lineage: Eukaryota; Metazoa; Chordata; Mammalia; Proboscidea; Elephantidae.
ACACUGGUGGUUCAGUGACAGAAUUCUCACCUUCUACGCCAGAGACCCAGGUUCAAUUCCCAGCCAUUGCA